GAUGAACGCUAGCGGCAGGCUUAACACAUGCAAGUCGAGGGGUAUAUGUCUUCGGAUAUAGAGACCGGCGCACGGGUGCGUAACGCGUAUGCAAUCUACCUUUCACAGAGGGAUAGCCCAGAGAAAUUUGGAUUAAUACCUCAUAGUAUUAUUGAGUGGCAUCACUUAAUAAUUAAAGUCACAACGGUGAAAGAUGAGCAUGCGUCCCAUUAGCUAGUUGGUAAGGUAACGGCUUACCAAGGCAACGAUGGGUAGGGGUCCUGAGAGGGAGAUCCCCCACACUGGUACUGAGACACGGACCAGACUCCUACGGGAGGCAGCAGUGAGGAAUAUUGGACAAUGGGCGCAAGCCUGAUCCAGCCAUGCCGCGUGCAGGAUGACGGUCCUAUGGAUUGUAAACUGCUUUUGUACGAGAAGAAACACUGCUUCGUGAAGCAGCUUGACGGUAUCGUAAGAAUAAGGAUCGGCUAACUCCGUG
RNAcentral lists this ribosomal RNA (478 nucleotides) under uncultured organism. Its description in RNAcentral is "bacterial SSU rRNA". It matches the Rfam family "Bacterial small subunit ribosomal RNA", at positions 28 to 507 of the family's 1533-position model. The record is from RNAcentral.